CCUAGAGUUCUCAAACGUUCCUCAUAUGUUAAGCUUUUAAUUUCUGGGCUUUUCAUUAUGUGACUGUGUGUUAUAUAACUGCUGGUUCUGGAAUAUGAAACUAUUGUAUGUUUCAUUUUCUUUCCAAGCAAAAAAUAAACAAAAAGUUAAAAACUGCAAUCAGAAGAAAGUAAGAAAGUGUUCGUAAGUGAGACAGAGAGAGAGACACCAGCUUUUUGUGCUGUGGUUCCUGAGCUGAGUGUUAACUCUUCAUGAUCUGGUGCCUGCAGGGAUCCUCCUGACACAAGUCUCUAAGCUGCUUGAGCAUCAAUCUAUGCAAAGUUGAAAAAAAAAUCAAAAGAACUGUGGAUGCUGUAAAUCAGGAACAAAAACAAAGUUGCUGGAAAAGCACAACAGGUCUGGCAGCAUCUGUGAAGGAGAAAACAGAGUUAACGUUUCGGGUCCGGUGACUCUUCCUCAGAACAAUUAUCUUAAAGACAUCAAGUGUAGAACCAGACUUCCCGACACUGGAAGAUCAUUUAAAAAGUUCAACUUGAGGAAACGUAAUAAUAUUGUAGUCAUCUAUAUGUAACACAAAUGAGCUCUGGCUCUUGGAGAAUGUGUCCAGGGACAGCCCAUGGUGUCACCAUCUGGCUUUUAUUAUCAGGACCAGUGGAUGUCAAUGACCUGCAAUAUUCACCGUUUUGACACUCUUGCAAAAAUUAAAGAAUGCCUCCAUAGAAAAAUUGUCUACUUGCUUGGAGAUUCCACCAUGCGACAGUGGUUUGAGAGUUUGACUCAAUUUGUCCCAGGUUAGGCUAUGUGUCAUGUCUCUUUACAGUCGUACAGGCACUGUUCAAAGUUCCUAAUUUUGCUAUGAACCUCUUAAACUCGUCAUUCACAAACUGCAGACUGUUGUCUGAUACAAUCUCAUCUUGCCUUCAGCGCUUUGAUCACAGUCACCACUGUGGUGGGGAUAAGU
This is a long non-coding RNA of Rhincodon typus (whale shark), 961 nucleotides long. RefSeq lists it as uncharacterized. The transcript is spliced from 5 exons. NCBI's taxonomy places the organism in Eukaryota, Metazoa, Chordata, Chondrichthyes, Orectolobiformes, Rhincodontidae. The record is from RefSeq and is a predicted model, not a curated record.